RNAcentral lists this ribosomal RNA (777 nucleotides) under uncultured Neocallimastigales. RNAcentral's name for it is "partial large subunit ribosomal RNA". It matches the Rfam family "Eukaryotic large subunit ribosomal RNA", at positions 22 to 647 of the family's 3401-position model. The record is from RNAcentral. Lineage: Eukaryota; Fungi; Neocallimastigomycota; Neocallimastigomycetes; Neocallimastigales.
UAGAUGCGAGAGUAGAGCAUAUCAAUAAGCGGAGGAAAAGAAACUAACAAGGAUUCCCUUAGUAACGGCGAGUGAAGCGGGAAGAGCUCAAAUUUGAAAUCUUCAAGGUUCUACCUUGACGAAUUGUAGUUUAAAGAAGUGUUUUCUGUUGGAGUUUUGGUAAAAGUUCUUUGGAAUAGGACAUCAUAGAGGGUGAGAAUCCCGUAUUUGACCAUUAUCUUCCAGCUUUGUGAUACACUUUCAAAGAGUCGGAUUGUUUGGGAAUGCAGUCCAAAAUGGGUGGUAAAUUUCAUCUAAAGCUAAAUAUUGGCGAGAGACCGAUAGCGAACAAGUACCGUGAGGGAAAGAUGAAAAGAACUUUGAAAAGAGAGUUAAACAGUACGUGAAAUUGUCAAAAGGGAAGCGUUUGACACCAGUGUUGUUUUUCCGAAAAUCAAUUACGAAUGUUUUAUUUUUGAGGAGUUAUGACUUCAUCGGCUUGCUCCUUUCUUUACUGAAACUUUCUUAAUGCACUUUUCGGUUAACAAGUCAACAUCAAUUUCUUUUGUUGUAAAAGGGUAUGAGGAAGGUGGCUUUCUUUUCGGAAGAAAGUGUUUAUAGCCUUGUGCCUCUGCAAUCGGAGAGAUUGAGGUCUGCAGCGUAGAUCCUUCGGGGUUAGAUACGUUUGUGCUAAGUUAUAGCUUUUCAUAGACAACUUGUUGACUAUGUUUAGUCUUGUAGCUUACUCGCUUACGCUAUUUUACCUACGCUUAGGAUGUUGACGAGACUGUCGAUCUC